UGGGGAAUAUUGCACAAUGGGCGAAAGCCUGAUGCAGCAACGCCGCGUGAGUGAUGAAGGUCUUCGGAUUGUAAAGCUCUGUCUUUUGGGACGAUAAUGACGGUACCAAAGGAGGAAGCCACGGCUAACUACGUGCCAGCAGCCGCGGUAAUACGUAGGUGGCGAGCGUUGUCCGGAUUUACUGGGCGUAAAGGGUGCGUAGGCGGAUGUUUAAGUGAGAUGUGAAAUACCCGGGCUUAACUUGGGUGCUGCAUUUCAAACUGGAUAUCUAGAGUGCAGGAGAGGAGAAUGGAAUUCCUAGUGUAGCGGUGAAAUGCGUAGAGAUUAGGAAGAACACCAGUGGCGAAGGCGAUUCUCUGGACUGUAACUGACGCUGAGGCACGAAAGCGUGGGUAGCAAACAGGAUUAGAUACCCUGGUAGUCCACGCCGUAAAACGAUGAGUACUAGGUGUAGGAGGUAUCGACCCCUUCUGUGCCGCAGUAAACACAUUAAAGUACUCCGCCUGGGAAGUACGAUCGCAAGAUUAAAAC
Molecule: ribosomal RNA, 531 nt
Filed under: uncultured bacterium
Lineage: Bacteria
Description: partial 16S ribosomal RNA
Rfam family: Bacterial small subunit ribosomal RNA
Source: RNAcentral